This 253-nucleotide ribosomal RNA is filed under the name uncultured bacterium. RNAcentral's name for it is "partial 16S ribosomal RNA". It matches the Rfam family "Bacterial small subunit ribosomal RNA", at positions 524 to 776 of the family's 1533-position model. The record is from RNAcentral.
UACGUAGGGGGCAAGCGUUGUCCGGAAUCAUUGGGCGUAAAGCGCGCGUAGGCGGCCCGGUAAGUCCGUUGUGAAAGUCAAAGGCUCAACCUUUGAACGCCGAUGGAUACUGCCGGGCUAGAGUCCGGAAGAGGCGAGUGGAAUUCCUGGUGUAGCGGUGAAAUGCGCAGAUAUCAGGAGGAACACCGGUGGCGAAGGCGGGUCUCUGGGCCGAAAUUGACGCUGAGGAGCGAAAGCGUGGGGAGCAAACAGG